UUUCUGAUUUCUGAUAAUAUUUUUCACUUUGUUAAUGAUGUUAAAAUUGAUAAUAGUUACAGGUCUGAUCAUUCACCUGUGGUCUUUUCUUUCAAGAUUAAUGAAUUUAUAAAAGGCAGAGGCCUUUGGAAGUUUAAUAAUUCCCUUCUUCAUGAUACUGACUAUGUUAAAGAGAUAAAAAAAACCUCAUAAAUAUAGUAAAAGAACAAUAUGCCGUCAAGAUAUAUAGAGAUGAAAAUUUACAAAAUAUUGACAACUCUGAAAUUGAAUUUACUGUUGAUGACCAGUUAUUUUUAGAAACUCUACUCACAGAAAUACGUGGCAAAACUAUUUCAUAUGCCUCUUAUAAAAAAAAAGGCGGGUAUAAAAAUUGAAAAUGAAAUUAUUUCAAAAUUAAAACAAUUAGAAGAAAAUGCUCUAACAGUAGAAAAUCUGGAAGAGAUUGAUCAGAAAAAAGCAGAACUUAAAAUGUAUAGACAAAAGAAGGUUCAGGGACAAUAUGUUAGGUCAAGAAGUCAGUGGAUUGAAGAAGGAGAAAAACCUACUAAUUUUUUUUUAAAUCUAGAGACUAGAAAUUAUAUUAAUAAGACUAUUCAAAAACUUACUUUAGAAAAUGGUGUUAUAGUGGAGGAACAAAAAGAAAUCUUAAAUCAGACAAAGGUGUUUUAUGAAAAACUUUAUAGAAAACAAGAUUGUUUAAAAAAGGUUGAUUUAACACGGGAAUGUUGUUAUGACGAGAUACCAAAGCUUAGCGAGGAUGAAAAGCAAUUAUUGGAGGGAAAUAUUAAUUUUUCUGAAUUAACUGCAGCAUUAAAGAGGAUGAAAAAUAACAAAAGUCCUGGAUCUGAUGGUUACACUGCAGAAUUUUUUAAAUUUUUUUGGAUUGAUAUUGGUAAAUUUGUCCUUAGAUCUAUAAAUUUUGGGUAUGGGAAGGGCCA
Molecule: long non-coding RNA, 938 nt
Filed under: Mytilus galloprovincialis (Mediterranean mussel)
Lineage: Eukaryota; Metazoa; Mollusca; Bivalvia; Mytilida; Mytilidae
Source: RNAcentral